CUCCUCUCAGGGCCACACCUGGAGAGUUUCAGUAGUCUACCAGUCUUGACUUAAGGAGGGAGAGUCAAGCAGAGGCAUACCCAUUCCAUUCCUAGCUUGGACAAUGGCUAGCUAGUGGAAGGCAAUCUGCUACAAGU
This 137-nucleotide small nucleolar RNA is filed under the name Ornithorhynchus anatinus (platypus). Lineage: Eukaryota; Metazoa; Chordata; Mammalia; Monotremata; Ornithorhynchidae. The record is from RNAcentral.